UCCAGUCACAGGUGGUGAAGUCUACAUUU
This 29-nucleotide non-coding RNA is filed under the name Rattus norvegicus (Norway rat). The record is from RNAcentral. Lineage: Eukaryota; Metazoa; Chordata; Mammalia; Rodentia; Muridae.